CAUAGAUAACAUCGUCGCAGGAAAGAGAAGGGGACUGGCGAUGGUGGGUCAAACUAGUAGGUCUGCCGAUUUCUCGUGUGUACGAAACCUACGAUACAUCAUUUUCGGCUGGGAUGAUCUUACGGUAGAUUUACCAUUUGUACAGUUUAUGGGCGUCGGUCUGGGCCAUAAACUUGCUUGGCAAUGACGGGAGUGCGGCUCGCCGUCGACCAAGUUAGGUAAGCCUGGAUGCUAUGACCACGAGUAACAAUGAGAAAGUAAGAAAGCAUAUACAAGAUAUAUAUAAGUGUAUAUAUGUGUAAAAGAGAGAGUAAGGAAAGAAAUCUUGUGGCUCGAAGGAACCUUAUCAGCGGUGGAAAUAGUUGGAGAUCUUGCAAAGGCAAUAAUCGUGUUCCCCAGAUUGCGCCACGGUCGAAAGUGUUGUCGAUCUAUUGCUACCCGCUAACCUAUGUCUCGUCGAGCACUAUUAUUCGAACUAGGUAUUCGAAACAUUCUUGUUUCUUCGCGUAAAAAUUUGUUCGGCCUCGUUUGUUCUUUGAAAUAGAUAGUUGGAUAUCCUAGUUGUGGAAUGUUUGUUUGGUUUCUUAUAUGUGAUAAGUGAAAUUUGUAUUUAGAAAUUUAUUGAUAUACUUGUGGACUCUCAAUUCAUAAAUCAAAGUUGUUUUAAAUGUUUAUUCAAGAAUUUGAAAAUAAUCUGAAGAAUCAAAAUCUAUAUUUCUGAAUUUCGUCAACUGGUUCCACAUCUAGAAUUCUUCCUUCACAUGGCGAGCUUCUUCGAAACGAAUGUAUUUAGCACCGAUCGAGGAUUAUUUUUAGCCAUUGCGUGUAUUUUUAGGGUCUCCAUAGCAUGUAAGUACAAACUCGUCCAUCCGUGUACGCGUUGGGGUUCGCUGCGUCGAACUCUGCUUCGUCGACAAACUUCGCAAAAGGGUAGGGCAAAACUUUUUUUUUUUAUGUUUAUUAAUAAAGAAGAAGCAUCGAGAAAAGACUCCGUGAAGCUUCAACCGUCAAGCUUCUCUGCUUUCUCCACACUUUCUCUUCUUCUUCUUUUUUUUUUUUUUUUUUUUUUUUUUUUUUUC
This is a long non-coding RNA of Apis dorsata (giant honeybee), 1079 nucleotides long. RefSeq lists it as uncharacterized. The transcript is spliced from 2 exons. NCBI's taxonomy places the organism in Eukaryota, Metazoa, Arthropoda, Insecta, Hymenoptera, Apidae. The record is from RefSeq and is a predicted model, not a curated record.